RNAcentral lists this ribosomal RNA (253 nucleotides) under uncultured bacterium. RNAcentral's name for it is "partial 16S ribosomal RNA". It matches the Rfam family "Bacterial small subunit ribosomal RNA", at positions 524 to 776 of the family's 1533-position model. The record is from RNAcentral.
UACAGAGGUCUCAAGCGUUGUUCGGAUUCAUUGGGCGUAAAGGGUGUGUAGGUGGCGCGCUAAGUCGGGUGUGAAAUUUCGGAGCUUAACUCCGAAACUGCAUUCGAUACUGGCGUGCUUGAGGACUGGAGAGGAGACUGGAAUUCAUGGUGUAGCAGUGAGAUGCGUAGAGAUCAUGAGGAAGACCAGUGGCGAAGGCGGGUCUCUGGACAGUUCCUGACACUGAGGCACGAAGGCCAGGGGAGCAAACGGG